CGAUGGUGUUCGGUCUUGAAUGGAAUUGUAGUCUUAGGCUAGUCUUAGGUUUUUGAACAGGAUAGUAGGUAUCCGGAGUCGAUUGAGGGCCAGAGCAGGCACUGGGGUUCAGAUUCUGGGCAAAGUUCCCCACGUUGAGGGUCUCGAGGACGCCUAGAUCUCUUUCCCAGGGCCAUGGCGAACCCGAAGCUGCUGGGACUGGAGCUAAGCGAGGCGGAGGUGAUCGGUGCUGAUUCGGCGCGAUUUGAGGAGCUGCUGCUGCAGCUGUCAUGCAUAAGAAUUGCUCCAUUUGAGGAACAAAUGAGGGGUCUGAUGGCACAGACUCCAAGCCUGGAGGUAGUUUUCCUUUAUACAGGCCUCGAAGGAGCUCCAGCAAGCCCAGACAACCAGACCAGAAUCGACACAAAUCCAGCCUCAGCCUGGUUUCUGCAUAAAGACCAACUCCUCAGAAGGGAAGGUUUUCAUCAACAUCUGCCACUCGUCCUCUAUCCCUCCUCCUGCCGACGUGACCGAGGAGGAGCUGCUUCAGAUGCUAGAGGAGGACCAAGCUGGGUUUCGCAUCCCCAUGAGUCUGGGAGAGCCUCAUGCAGAACUGGAUGCAAGUCAGUGCCCUCAGAGGACCCAGGAGUCUGGCCCACUAGGCCCCUUCUUCCCUAGAACCCAAGAAUCCUGGGCCCAGGACCCUCCUCCCUCAGCUCCUGAAGAUCUGGCUCCUCGAUCUGAUUCUUUUCUCUAUGGUAGAUCUCUAGUGCCCUGGACAUCCCACACCUGGGCAGUCCUGGUUCUGCCACCUGGCCAGGCUGGUACUUUUCGAUGCCCCACUCCAGGGCUGGGAGGCCUGGGCAGAGUGCUCUUCGUGCAUUAGCGGAUCUCCUGGCUUUAGUCCUGAGCCCGCUCUCUCCUUUUUUCUUUUCUUUUUUUUUUUUUGAGAUGGAGUUUCGCUCUUAUUGCCCAGGUUC
Molecule: small RNA, 959 nt
Filed under: Pongo abelii (Sumatran orangutan)
Lineage: Eukaryota; Metazoa; Chordata; Mammalia; Primates; Hominidae
Description: retained intron
Source: RNAcentral